GAUGAACGCUGGCGGCGUGCCUAAUACAUGCAAGUCGAGCGAACAGACGAGGAGCUUGCUCCUCUGACGUUAGCGGCGGACGGGUGAGUAACACGUGGAUAACCUACCUAUAAGACUGGGAUAACUUCGGGAAACCGGAGCUAAUACCGGAUAAUAUAUUGAACCGCAUGGUUCAAUAGUGAAAGACGGUUUUGCUGUCACUUAUAGAUGGAUCCGCGCCGCAUUAGCUAGUUGGUAAGGUAACGGCUUACCAAGGCAACGAUGCGUAGCCGACCUGAGAGGGUGAUCGGCCACACUGGAACUUAGACACGGACCAGACUCCUACGGGAGGCAGCAGUAGGGAAUCUUCCGCAAUGGGCGAAAGCCUGACGGAGCAACGCCGCGUGAGUGAUGAAGGUCUUCGGAUCGUAAAACUCUGUUAUUAGGGAAGAACAAAUGUGUAAGUAACUAUGCACGUCUUGACGGUACCUAAUCAGAAAGCCACGGCUAACUACGUG
Molecule: ribosomal RNA, 497 nt
Filed under: uncultured bacterium
Lineage: Bacteria
Description: partial 16S ribosomal RNA
Rfam family: Bacterial small subunit ribosomal RNA
Source: RNAcentral